Molecule: ribosomal RNA, 402 nt
Filed under: uncultured prokaryote
Description: bacterial SSU rRNA
Rfam family: Bacterial small subunit ribosomal RNA
Source: RNAcentral
UAGGGAAUAUUAGAAAUGGACGAAAGUCUGAUCUAGCAACACCGCGUGUGCGAAGAAGGCCUUCGGGUUGUAAAGCACUUUUUGGAAGGAUUAGGAAGGAAUGUACUUCCAGAAUAAGUCUCGGCUAACUACGUGCCAGCAGCCGCGGUAACACGUAGGAGGCAAACGUUAUCCGGAUUUACUGGGCGUAAAGCGCGUGUAGGUGGUUCUGUAAGUAGGGCGUGAAAGCUCCUGGCUCAACUGGGAGAGGCCGUUCUAAACUGCAGAGCGAGAGGAUGGUAGAGGGAGGUGGAAUUCCGUGUGUAGCGGUGGAAUGCGCAGAUAUCCGGAGGAACACCAGUGGCGAAAGCGGCCUCCUGGACCAUUCCUGACGCUCAGACACGAAAGCUAAGGUAGCAAACG